Molecule: transfer RNA, 71 nt
Filed under: Cavia porcellus (domestic guinea pig)
Lineage: Eukaryota; Metazoa; Chordata; Mammalia; Rodentia; Caviidae
Rfam family: tRNA
About the family: Transfer RNA (tRNA) molecules are approximately 80 nucleotides in length. Their secondary structure includes four short double-helical elements and three loops (D, anti-codon, and T loops).
Source: Rfam by way of RNAcentral
GGGAUAUAGCUCAACGGUACAGCACCUGCCUGGGAAGUGUGAGGUCCUGAGUUCAAUUCCCAGUAUCCACA